CGGGAGUCUUCUUCAUUGAGUAUGCCCAUUUUAAGAAAGAAAGCAUCGUCUACAUGUGAACCAGUUGCUUGUUUGGUAGUCUUGGGGUGCUCUACCAUAUGUUUGAUUUGUUCACAUCAUUAAUGGCCUGAAUUAUGUUUUAUUUGUCCAUCAAUUAUAUAAUUUUUUGGUAAAUUAUCUAAUCAGUUUUCUGCAUUUUCGCAUCUAUAGUGGGAUAAACUUCCAAGGUUAGCCAUUGAACCAUUUGUCUUAUUGCUUUCACCAUAUGAGGAGCUUUGGUUUCGCCUGGGACACUCAAAUUCGUUGGCAUACAAGCCUUUUUUGAAGACCACGAGCUGAAAAAGAUUGUAUUUCGAGUUCUUAAACAUCGGUCAAGAUGGAAUUAGAGUGAAUCUAGAAAGCUGCACACAAGUCACGUUCACUUCAAUUUAUCUUGAAAGAUCAAGAAUGUUCAGAGUCAUAAAGUAUUACUGUUUCAUUGUUUUGGCAAGUUUCUGCAUGUAUGGCUUGAAUGUACAGAAGUUGGAGUGAUAAGGAGACACCACUUAUAUCUCCAAAUUAAUGCAGAAACUUGCCAGUUAUUUUGUAUCUUUUUAUAUAUGGUUUUGGCUGGGGUCUUGGUUAGUUAUUAGAACUUGAAAUUCAUCUUCUUUUUUCUUCUUUAUUUAUUUUUAUUAAAGCAUGUAUUAAAGAAGAGAAUAGAUUUGUUUAGGCAGGAAUUCAGGCUCAUUUUCUGUCGUACUUAAUUAAUGAGUUUUCUUGUCAUAUUGAUUAUGAGACUUUGCAGGCUGAUCCUGCUUACCUAAAAGAGUCCACAGUGGUCCUACCAGUUUAGAUUAAUGGGAAAACAAGGGGUACAAUACAGGUCGAAGAAACAUGUGCAGAGGAUGACGCUUUCAAACUGGCUUCAAUUGACCAAAAACUCUCCAAAUAUUUGGACGGUAGAAAUGUCAGAAAAAGAAUUUAUGUUCUCGGUAAAAUUUUGAAUGUCAUAUUGGAGCCCCAAAACAUCAAGGCAGGCAUCCAGUAGUGUCCCCAUGUAUGAAGAUUGAAAGUCUACACAACAUAGACCAGGUCAAUUUGCGGCAGAGAAAUUUCUAAACCAUAGAAAGUUGUGCUUUUGUCUGAAAUGUUGAUUGGCAGGUGCUAAUUGUAAAUUGCAAUGAACAUAUUUUCCUUGUAUUCUGGUGCUAAACAUUCUUUUGUACACUGACAGUCUGUUUGGAUGGGGUGAUUUUGUGAGAACUAAUAUGAAAUGAGAGAAAAAAUGGACUGUUAUUUGUUUAUGUUUUGCACAAAGAAUGCUGAUUGUGCAAAUGAUGCAUGUGGUAAACCAAAGGAGAGUACCAAUUUGAAUGUCAUUUUAUCUUUAACCUA
Molecule: non-coding RNA, 1377 nt
Organism: Camellia sinensis
Lineage: Eukaryota; Viridiplantae; Streptophyta; Magnoliopsida; Ericales; Theaceae
Source: RefSeq, a predicted model, not a curated record